RNAcentral lists this long non-coding RNA (564 nucleotides) under Homo sapiens (human). RNAcentral describes it as "non-protein coding lnc-CA14-1:1". The record is from RNAcentral. Lineage: Eukaryota; Metazoa; Chordata; Mammalia; Primates; Hominidae.
AAAAAAAAAAAAAGUGUUGGUAAAAGUAUCCAAUUUACUGAAAAAAUUUCUCACCCGUAAUCCUUUUCAGAAAGAUUUAACUAAUUCCCCACAGAUAAUAAAUCCUCCACACUACAAAAAUUGGUUUGUUUUUAACUCAGCAUAUUCUCAGAAAAGUGGCCGGUGGUGGAGCAGAGUGCAACACAGCUCAAAGCGCUGGACUCACAGGAGCUUCGCUGCAGACUUGCAGUGAUAGUGACUGCUGCUUCCCUUGGGUUCCUCUGGUGUUGCUGUCAUUGAUAAUUUAGUAGUUUCAACUGCAGUUCCUUCCAUUACACUUACAGAUUCUUCUACGGACCCCCAGAAUUCCUCAGUCACAGCUCUCUAUAUAAAUGGCUUUGAAAGCCACUGACUACACUGUUGGUGUCUACUCAGUGCCAAGAGAAAUGGACUCUGGGAGAAAAUCCCUCCAAGUGGAGAAACCCUGUAACCCCUUUGAGCUAAUUCCGGGGAGUGACUCUAGCCAGGAAAAGUCACAACUAAAGCGGAAAACAGAUCGUAGCCUUCACCAUCGGCAAGAUGGUG